RNAcentral lists this ribosomal RNA (467 nucleotides) under uncultured bacterium. Its description in RNAcentral is "partial 16S ribosomal RNA". It matches the Rfam family "Bacterial small subunit ribosomal RNA", at positions 28 to 506 of the family's 1533-position model. The record is from RNAcentral.
GACGAACGCUGGCGGCGUGCUUAACACAUGCAAGUCGAACGGAAAGGCCCUGCUUUUGUGGGGUGCUCGAGUGGCGAACGGGUGAGUAACACGUGAGUAACCUGCCCUUGACUUUGGGAUAACUUCAGGAAACUGGGGCUAAUACCGGAUAGGAGCUCCUGCUGCAUGGUGGGGGUUGGAAAGUUUCGGCGGUUGGGGAUGGACUCGCGGCUUAUCAGCUUGUUGGUGGGGUAGUGGCUUACCAAGGCUUUGACGGGUAGCCGGCCUGAGAGGGUGACCGGCCACAUUGGGACUGAGAGACGGCCCAGACUCCUACGGGAGGCAGCAGUGGGGAAUAUUGCACAAUGGGCGGAAGCCUGAUGCAGCAACGCCGCGUGCGGGAUGACGGCCUUCGGGUUGUAAACCGCUUUCGCCUGUGACGAGGCGUGAGUGACGGUAAUGGGUAAAGAAACACCGGCUAACUACGU